Molecule: ribosomal RNA, 423 nt
Filed under: uncultured bacterium
Lineage: Bacteria
Description: bacterial SSU rRNA
Rfam family: Bacterial small subunit ribosomal RNA
Source: RNAcentral
AAGACCUUGCACUUUUGGAGCGGCCGAUGUCUGAUUAGCUAGUUGGUGGGGUAAAGGCCUACCAAAGCUUCGAUCAGUAGCUGGUCUGAGAGGACGGCCAGCCACACUGGGACUGAGACACGGCCCAGACUCCUACGGGAGGCAACAGUGGGGAAUUUUGGACAAUGGGCGCAAGCCUGAUCCAGCCAUGCCGCGUGAGUGAAGAAGGCCUUCGGGUUGUAAGGCUCUUUCAGCCGGGAAGAAAAGGCUGCGACUAAUAAUCGCAGUUCAUGACGGUACCGGAAGAAGAAGCACCGGCUAACUACGUGCCAGCAGCCGCGGUAAUACGUAGGGUGCGAGCGUUAAUCGGAAUUACUGGGCGUAAAGGGUGCGCAAGCGGUUUUGUAAGUCAGAUGUGAAAUCCCCGGGCUUAACCUGGGAACU